This 30-nucleotide non-coding RNA is filed under the name Rattus norvegicus (Norway rat). Lineage: Eukaryota; Metazoa; Chordata; Mammalia; Rodentia; Muridae. The record is from RNAcentral.
UCCAUCUCGGAAAGCAGUAGACAAAAAGGA